This is a long non-coding RNA of Mugil cephalus (flathead mullet), 691 nucleotides long. RefSeq lists it as uncharacterized. NCBI's taxonomy places the organism in Eukaryota, Metazoa, Chordata, Actinopteri, Mugiliformes, Mugilidae. The transcript is spliced from 4 exons. The record is from RefSeq and is a predicted model, not a curated record.
GUCUUCUGGCUGGAGAGAAGAGUAGGCCCUCAGUGGACGUAGAUGAAGUUCUCUGACUUCUGAUAGGAGAAAUAUUCUCUGCAAGAUCUUGCUGCGGUUCAUUGCCCGGCUUCCGCGCUGGUACUCCUGUUUGCCUCUCCCAACUGGGGAUCACCAUCAACUGUCGACGUUUGGAUCCUCUUGCGCAGGGCUGGGCAAUUAUUUUCUACAAGGGGCCACAUGAAAAAGCUGAUCUGUGUUGGAGGGCCGAGCCAAAUGCGUCUCCAGCCACUCCAGGACAGUGUUCAGCUCCCCCACUGCCUUCUUUGCCGCCUGGUUUAUCUGAAGCUGCUCAGCGUUAAGGUGAAGGAGAGAGGAGCAAGAGAAAAGAAGAAGCAGAGAGAUUAGCGUGAAUAUUCACAGACUAUGACUGUGAGUAAAGGCUUUUCUAAUGGUUUCGUUUUCCCUUAACCCCACUUAAGAAAACAAGAAAUAAAUACAAUGGGGUUCUUAUUUAUGGCCUGAAACAUUCAACGUGUUUUUAAGAAAAUAAAAACCGUAUGUUUCAUAAUUUUUCAUUUAACUAUCAGAGCAGACUGUGUAGCAUUUGUGACAACAAAAAUUGUGGGACAUUCAGAAAUACAGUUAGCACCACCUGCUGUCAGUUGACAUGUAGGACACAAAACACUGAAUUUCAUUCAGGUGAGUAGUU